Molecule: ribosomal RNA, 609 nt
Filed under: uncultured bacterium
Lineage: Bacteria
Description: bacterial SSU rRNA
Rfam family: Bacterial small subunit ribosomal RNA (bases 1-520)
Source: RNAcentral
CCUACGGGAGGCAGCAGUGGGGAAUAUUGGACAAUGGGCGAAAGCCUGAUCCAGCAAUGCCGCGUGAGUGAUGAAGGCCUUAGGGUUGUAAAGCUCUUUUACCAGGGAUGAUAAUGACAGUACCUGGAGAAUAAGCUCCGGCUAACUCCGUGCCAGCAGCCGCGGUAAUACGGAGGGAGCUAGCGUUGUUCGGAAUUACUGGGCGUAAAGCGUACGUAGGCGGUUAUUCAAGUCAGAGGUGAAAGCCUGGAGCUCAACUCCAGAACUGCCUUUGAAACUAGAUAGCUAGAAUCUUGGAGAGGUGAGUGGAAUUCCGAGUGUAGAGGUGAAAUUCGUAGAUAUUCGGAAGAACACCAGUGGCGAAGGCGACUCACUGGACAAGUAUUGACGCUGAGGUACGAAAGCGUGGGGAGCAAACAGGAUUAGAUACCCUGGUAGUCCACGCCGUAAACGAUGAUAACUAGCUGUUCGGGCUCUACGAGCUUGAGUGGCGCAGACUACGACAUUAAGUUAUUCCGUCCGUCGGGAGGUACGGUCGCGAAGAAUUAAACUAACAAAGAAAGUUAGUACGGCGUGAGACGUAGCCGACGACGACGACGAGGGAGGAGG